This 1408-nucleotide ribosomal RNA is filed under the name metagenome. Its description in RNAcentral is "bacterial SSU rRNA". It matches the Rfam family "Archaeal small subunit ribosomal RNA". The record is from RNAcentral.
UCCAGUUUAUCCUGCUGGCGGCUGCGGCUAUCUGGCUUGCACUAAGACAUGCAAGUUUUUUCGAAAGAAAGGCGAACUGCUCAGUAACACGUAGCUAACUUGCCCUUAGGUCAGCAAUACCCUCGGGAAACUGAGGUUAAUGGCUGAUACGAGACGAUUUCUGGAAGGUGUUGUCUCUGAAAUUCGUGCCUAAGGAUAGGGCUGCGGCUGAUUAGGUUGUUGGCGGGGUAAUGGCCCACCAAGCCAUUGAUCAGUAAGGGCUUUUGGCGAAGGGGCCCUGAGAAGGAAUCUUAGACACUAUUCCUAGCCCUACGGGGUGCAGCAGUCGGGGAUUUUUUGCAAUGCGCGCAAGCGUGACAGAGCGAGCCAGAGUGUCUCUUUUUAAGAGACUUUUGUAUGCUGUAAAAAGGCAUACGAAUAAGGACUGGGCAAGACUGGUGCCAGCCGCCGCGGUAAUCCCAGCGGUCCGAGUCGCAGCCACAAUUAUUGGGUCUAAAACAUCCGUAGCUUGCUUUGCAAGUUUCUUGUGAAAUCUGGCAUCUUAAGUGUCAGACGUGCAAGAAAUACUGCUUAGCUAGAGACCGGAGGAUGCAAGGAGUACAUUCAAGGUAGUGGUAAAAUACGUUAAUCUUGAAUGGACUACCAACAGCGAAGGCACCUUGCAACGACGGAUCUGACUGUGAGGGAUGAAGGCUAGGGGCGCAAAAUGGAUUAGAUACCCAUGUAGUCCUAGCAGUAAACACUGCGCACUAAACAUCAGUACCUCCUCGAGAGGUAUUGGUGCUGCAGCGAAGGCGAAGAGUGCGCUACCUGGGAAGUAUAGUCGCAAGGCCGAAACUUAAAGGAAUUGGCGGGGGAGCACUACAACGGGUGACGCGUGCGGUUCAAUUAGAUUCUACACCGUGAACCUCACCAGGACCGACAGCAGAAUGAAGGUCAGUCUGAAGGGCUUACCUGACACGCUGAGAGGAGUUGCAUGGCCGACGUCAGCCUGUGUCGUGAGAUGACCUGUUAAAUCAGGUAACAGGCGAGACCCGCGUGCAUAGUUGCUACCUGAAGAAGGGGCACUCUAUGCAGACUGCCUGGGCAACCAGGAGGAAGGUGCGGGCUACGUUAGGUGAGUACGGCCCAAAUGCCCUGGGCGACACGCGCGCGGCAAUGCUAUAUUCAGUGGGAUGCAACUCCGAAAGGAGAAGCUAACCUCAUAAUAUAUAGCUCAGUUCAGAUUGAGGCUUGAAACUCAGCCUCAUGACGCUGGAAUCCGUAGUAAUCGUUCUUUAGCAGAGAACGGUGAAUAAGUCCCUGCUCCUUGCACACACCGCCCGUCAAACCAACCGAGUUUUGCAUUGGUGAGGCUUUUCGAAUUCAAAUCUUUGUAAGACAAGGUAGGUUAAGUCGUCACAAGGUC